GAUGAACGCUGGCGGCGUGCCUAAUACAUGCAAGUCGAGCGAACAGACGAGGAGCUUGCUCCUCUGAUGUUAGCGGCGGACGGGUGAGUAACACGUGGAUAACCUACCUAUAAGACUGGGAUAACUUCGGGAAACCGGAGCUAAUACCGGAUAAUAUAUUGAACCGCAUGGUUCAAAAGUGAAAGACGGUUUUGCUGUCACUUAUAGAUGGAUCCGCGCUGCAUUAGCUAGUUGGUAAGGUAACGGCUUACCAAGGCAACGAUGCGUAGCCGACCUGAGAGGGUGAUCGGCCACACUGGAACUGAGACACGGUCCAGACUCCUACGGGAGGCAGCAGUAGGGAAUCUUCCGCAAUGGGCGAAAGCCUGACGGAGCAACGCCGCGUGAGUGAUGAAGGUCUUCGGAUCGUAAAACUCUGUUAUUAGGGAAGAACAUAUGUGUAAGUAACUAUGCACGUCUUGACGGUACCUAAUCAGAAAGCCACGGCUAACUACGUG
This 497-nucleotide ribosomal RNA is filed under the name uncultured bacterium. RNAcentral describes it as "partial 16S ribosomal RNA". It matches the Rfam family "Bacterial small subunit ribosomal RNA", at positions 28 to 507 of the family's 1533-position model. The record is from RNAcentral.